CCUACGGGAGGCAGCAGUGAGGAAUUUUCCGCAAUGGGCUAACGCCUGACGGAGCAAUGCCGCGUGGAGGAGGAAGGCCUGUGGGUCGUAAACUCCUUUUCUCAGAGAAGAAGAUCUGACGGUAUCUGAGGAAUAAGCAUCGGCUAACUCUGUGCCAGCAGCCGCGGUAAUACAGGGGAUGCAAGCGUUAUCCGGAAUUAUUGGGCGUAAAGCGUCCUGAGGUGGCUUACCCAGUCGACUGUGAAAGCUCAAGGCUCAACCUUGAAACGGCAGUCGAAACUUGUAAGCUUGAGUACGGUAGAGGCAGAGGGAAUUCCCGGAGGAGAGGUGAAAUUCGUAGAUAUCGGGAGGAAGGCCAAAGGCGAAAGCACUCUGCUGGGCCGAUUACUGACACUGACAGACGAAAGCUAGGGGAGCGAAAGGGAUUAGAUACCCCUGUAGUCCUAGCCGUAAACGAUGGAUACUAGGUGUUGCGCGACUCAACUCGUGCAGUGCUGCAGCUAACGCGGUAAGUAUCCCGCCUGGGGAGUAUGCUCGCAAGAGUGAAACUUAAAGGAAUUGACGG
This 565-nucleotide ribosomal RNA is filed under the name uncultured bacterium. RNAcentral describes it as "bacterial SSU rRNA". It matches the Rfam family "Bacterial small subunit ribosomal RNA", at positions 338 to 916 of the family's 1533-position model. The record is from RNAcentral.